AUGUCGUGCGUGGGCUAUUUACCUGCUCAAAAUUGUCGCACCACAGCCAUUCGCUCGAACAACGUCGCACUCUUGCCAAUUCACCUCAAAUGUGUCGCACAGGAGCUAUUGCCCCGCACGGAUUAUGACGAGCAUGUCGACUCGUGGGCUCUUGGGGUCAUGAUGGCUGAGCUCCUCGCCGGCAAGCACCCUUUCCAUGGGAGGUCAGAUACGGAGCACCUCAGCGAGAUCUUGGACCUUCUCGGCACAGCUGACAUCAAAGAGCUGUCAGGCUACGAUGGACGCCGUUUGCCCGGCGGAUGCCAACCAGGAAGCUUUCUGCGGAAUAAGUUCCCUUGUCAGGUUGAGGCCAGGAUGAAAGGCCCGCCGACAUUGUUAGAGGCUGGUUUCGAGGUCUUGAGCGGUCUUCUACGAUGCAACCCGGAGAAGUGGCUCACGGCGGAGCAAGCGCUCAAGCAUCGGUGGUUCAAGGAGGCCAACCCUAGGGCUACAAGGAGUUGA
This 501-nucleotide ribosomal RNA is filed under the name Triticum aestivum (bread wheat). RNAcentral describes it as "partial small subunit ribosomal RNA". The record is from RNAcentral. Lineage: Eukaryota; Viridiplantae; Streptophyta; Magnoliopsida; Poales; Poaceae.